GAUGAACGCUGGCGGCGUGCCUAAUACAUGCAAGUCGAGCGAACAGAUGAGGAGCUUGCUCCUCUGACGUUAGCGGCGGACGGGUGAGUAACACGUGGAUAACCUACCUAUAAGACUGAUAACUUCGGGAAACCGGAGCUAAUACCGGAUAAUAUAUUGAACCGCAUGGUUCAAUAGUGAAAGACGGUUUUGCUGUCACUUAUAGAUGGAUCCGCGCCGCAUUAGCUAGUUGGUAAGGUAACGGCUUACCAAGGCAACGAUGCGUAGCCGACCUGAGAGGGUGAUCGGCCACACUGGAACUGAGACACGGUCCAGACUCCUACGGGAGGCAGCAGUAGGGAAUCUUCCGCAAUGGGCGAAAGCCUGACGGAGCAACGCCGCGUGAGUGAUGAAGGUCUUCGGAUCGUAAAACUCUGUUAUUAGGGAAGAACAAAUGUGUAAGUAACUAUGCACGUCUUGACGGUACCUAAUCAGAAAGCCACGGCUAACUACGUG
This 495-nucleotide ribosomal RNA is filed under the name uncultured bacterium. RNAcentral describes it as "partial 16S ribosomal RNA". It matches the Rfam family "Bacterial small subunit ribosomal RNA", at positions 28 to 507 of the family's 1533-position model. The record is from RNAcentral.